RNAcentral lists this unclassified non-coding RNA (385 nucleotides) under fungal sp. RNAcentral describes it as "partial internal transcribed spacer region". The stretch from base 1 to 46 matches the Rfam family "Eukaryotic small subunit ribosomal RNA", at positions 1786 to 1831 of the family's 1831-position model. The record is from RNAcentral. Lineage: Eukaryota; Fungi.
AAGUCGUAACAAGGUUUCCGUAGGUGAACCUGCGGAAGGAUCAUUCACACGUAUCCAAACGUUAAACAACCCCGUGAACAUACAACCUGCUCUGGUCGCCCGCUCGCAUGGACAAGCCCAGUAAUGGGACCUCUGUGCGCGUGAGAAAAACUGACAGCGAUUCAUAGAAGUAGGUCAAGUGACACGGCGUCCCCAAGUGACCAGUGAAUGAAAGUGUCGCUGGAGCGUCAAGGACGACUCUUCAAGAUUGCUAGAGGUCGACCACCGACCGGCUUCCGUGUAUACUGAGCUAACACCGCUCCCUUCCGAACCCCACUUUAUUGCCUUGCCUGUAAGCAUCCAUACGGAUCCCGAACAACUGUUAACAAUGGAUAUCUUGGUUCUC